GAUGAACGCUGGCGGCGUGCCUAGUACAUGCAAGUCGAGCGAACAGACGAGGAGCUAGCUCCUCUGACGUUAGCGGCGGACGGGUGAGUAACACGUGGAUAACCUACCUAUAAGACUGGGAUAACUUCGGGAAACCGGAGCUAAUACCGGAUAAUAUAUUGAACCGCAUGGUUCAAUAGUGAAAGACGGUUUUGCUGUCACUUAUAGAUGGAUCCGCGCCGCAUUAGCUAGUUGGUAAGGUAACGGCUUACCAAGGCGACGAUGCGUAGCCGACCUGCGAGGGUGAUCGGCCACACUGGAACUGAGACACGGUCCAGACUCCUACGGGACGCAGCAGUCGGGAAUCUUCCGCAAUGGGCGAAAGCCUUACGGAGCAACGCCGCGUGAGUGAUGAAGGUCUUCGGAUCGUAAAACUCUGUUAUUAGGGAAGAACAAAUGUGUAAGUAACUAUGCACGUCUUGACGGUACCUAAUCAGAAAGCCACGGCUAACUACGUG
Molecule: ribosomal RNA, 497 nt
Filed under: uncultured bacterium
Lineage: Bacteria
Description: partial 16S ribosomal RNA
Rfam family: Bacterial small subunit ribosomal RNA
Source: RNAcentral